This is a non-coding RNA of Pelobates cultripes (western spadefoot toad), 202 nucleotides long. The record is from the annotation of a GenBank genome assembly. Lineage: Eukaryota; Metazoa; Chordata; Amphibia; Anura; Pelobatidae.
CCAUUUUUAAAAAAAUUAUAUUUCACUUUAUGUGCCGACCUAAUUAUUUUGCGUUUUAUUACUUGCUUAUAUAUAUUUAUAUAUUUGUUUCUACCAUAUACUAGCUACAUUUACUGGUAUAUUCUAGACAUAUGCAAUCUUUGAGGUGUAUCUGAAAACAUACCAUGGAUACCACACUAGGACCUCAAUUUAAUAAGUUUCC